GUGCGUAACGCGUAUGAAACCUACCUGUUACACGGGGAUAGCCCGAAGAAAUUCGGAUUAAUACCCGAUGGUAUUGUUUGGGGGCAUCCUUGAGCAAUUAAAGCUUUGGCGGUAACAGAUGGUCAUGCGUCCCAUUAGCUAGUUGGCAGUGUAAAAGACUCCCAAGGCGACGAUGGGUAGGGGUUCUGAGAGGAAGGUCCCCCACACUGGUACUGAGAUACGGACCAGACUCCUACGGGAGGCAGCAGUAGGGAAUAUUGGGCAAUGGGCGAGAGCCUGACCCAGCCAUGCCGCGUGCAGGAAGACGGCCCUCUGGGUUGUAAACUGCUUUUAUAGGGGAAGAAAACGCUCUUGCGAGAGUAACUGACGGUACCUUAUGAAUAAGCAUCGGCUAACUCCGUGCCAGCAGCCGCGGUAAUACGGAGGAUGCAAGCGUUGUCCGGACUUACUGGGUUUAAAGGGUGCGUAGGCGGCUUAGUAAGUCAGAAUUAAAAGUCGGCAGCUCAACUGUCGUAAGGUUCUGAUACUGCUGAGCUUGAGUGAAAUGGAGGCAACUGGAAUGGGUAGAGUAGCGGUGAAAUGCAUAGAUACUACCCGGAACACCAAUAGCGAAGGCAAGUUGCUACACUUCAACUGACGCUGAGGCACGAAAGCGUGGGGAUCAAACAGGAUUAGAUACCCU
RNAcentral lists this ribosomal RNA (682 nucleotides) under uncultured bacterium. Its description in RNAcentral is "bacterial SSU rRNA". It matches the Rfam family "Bacterial small subunit ribosomal RNA", at positions 106 to 788 of the family's 1533-position model. The record is from RNAcentral.